AAGAGGGGAGGAGCCUUUUAUUUUUUAUUUUUCCUCUCUCUUCAUUUUUUUUCUCUCUCUUCAUUUCUUUUUUUUCCUUCUCUCUUCAAAUUUAUUUCCCUCUCUCUUCAAUUAUUUUUUAUCCCUCUCUCUUCAAAUUUUUUUUUAUUUUUUUUCCUCUCUCUUCAAUAUUUUUUCCCUCUCUUUUCAAUUUUAUUUAUUUUUUUUCCCACUCUCUUCAAAUUUUUUUUUUCCUUUCACAUCAAUUUUUUUCUCCCUAUCUCUUCAAUUUAUUUUCCCUAUCUCUUCAAUUUUUUUCCCUCUCUCUUCAAUUUUUUCUCUCUUCAUAUAUAGAGAAGAAGAUUUAUCUAGUUUUUAAGUUCAAUCUAAUUUUUUAUUUAUUAUUAUAAAAAUUUAAAAUAUAUAAAUUAAUCGGAAUGGGAUUCAUGCAUAUCAAAUACAAACAAACGAAUUUGUCCAUUCCGAUUCUCAUUCUAGG
Molecule: long non-coding RNA, 478 nt
Filed under: Ananas comosus (pineapple)
Lineage: Eukaryota; Viridiplantae; Streptophyta; Magnoliopsida; Poales; Bromeliaceae
Description: long non-coding RNA (ACOM_LNC030274)
Source: RNAcentral